CUGAGGUGCGAAAGCGUGGGAAACAAACAGGAUUAGAUAGCCUGGUAGUCCACUCUGUAUACGAUGUUGACCAGACGUUGGGUGCCUAGCGCACUUUGUGCCGAAGUUUACGCGAUAAGUCGACGACGUGGGGAGUACGGCCACAAGGUUAAAACUCAAAUGAAUUGACGGGGGCCCGCACAACCGGUGGAGCAUGUGGUUUAAUUAGAUGCAACGCGAAGAACCUUACCUACUCUUGACAUCCUGGGAAUUAGUGAAAGAUCCCUUGGUGCUUUCGGGAACGCAGAGUCAUUUGGUGCAUGUCUGUCGUCAUCUCGUGUUGUGAAAUGUGGGGUUAAGUCCCGAAACGAGGGCAUCCCUUGUCCUUAUUGCACGGCAGGAAAUGGUGGGAACUCUAAGGAGACUGCCGGUCACAAACCGGAGGAAGGGGGGGACGGGGUCAAGUUCUCAUGGCCCGUGGGAGUAGGUCUACACAGACCAUACAAGGACCGGUACAAAGGUGACCCAACUCCUCAGAGUGAAGUAAUCCCGAAAAGCCUCAUCAGUAGGGGGCGGAGUAGCCCCUCGAUUCCGUAGGACGGAAUGGUAAUAGCUCGUGUUUCAGAAGGUUAUGGCGAAUACGUUGGGCAGCUUUGUACACACCGUCCGUAACACCACGGGAGUCGAC
RNAcentral lists this ribosomal RNA (667 nucleotides) under Halomonas sp. J4.2B1. Its description in RNAcentral is "bacterial SSU rRNA". It matches the Rfam family "Bacterial small subunit ribosomal RNA", at positions 746 to 1415 of the family's 1533-position model. The record is from RNAcentral. Lineage: Bacteria; Pseudomonadati; Pseudomonadota; Gammaproteobacteria; Oceanospirillales; Halomonadaceae.